Molecule: ribosomal RNA, 425 nt
Filed under: uncultured bacterium
Lineage: Bacteria
Description: partial 16S ribosomal RNA
Rfam family: Bacterial small subunit ribosomal RNA
Source: RNAcentral
GUUAGGAAUAUUGGACAAUGGGCGAAAGCCUGAUCCAGCCAUGCCGCGUGAACGAUGAAGGCCUUCGGGUUGUAAAGUUCUUUAGCCGAUGAUUAUAAUGACUGUAGUCGGAAAAUAAGCCCCGGCUAACUUCGUGCCAGCAGCCGCGGUAAUACGAAGGGGGCGAGCGUUAUUCGGAAUCACUGGGCGUAAAGCGUGCGUAGGCGGUUUUGUAAGUUAGGAGUGAAAGCCCAGGGCUCAACCUUGGAAUUGCUCUUAAAACUGCAAGGCUCGAAUCUCGGAGAGGAUAGCGGAAUUUCCAGUGUAGCAGUGAAAUGCGUAGAUAUUGGAAGGAACACCAGUGGCGUAAGCGGCUAUCUGGACCGAUAUUGACGCUGAGGCACGAAAGCGUGGGGAGCAAACAGGAUUAGAUACCCUUGUAGUCC